UGCAGUCGGGCGGUAACACAGAGGAGCUUGCUCCUUGGGUGACGAGCGGCGGACGGGUGAGUAAAGUCUGGGGAUCUGCCUGAUGGAGGGGGAUAACUACUGGAAACGGUAGCUAAUACCGCAUGACGUCUUCGGACCAAAGUGGGGGACCUUCGGGCCUCACGCCAUGAGAUGAACCCAGAUGGGAUUAGCUGGUAGGUGAGGUAACGGCUCACCUAGGCGACGAUCCCUAGCUGGUCUGAGAGGAUGACCAGCCACACUGGAACUGAGACACGGUCCAGACUCCUACGGGAGGCAGCAGUGGGGAAUAUUGCACAAUGGGGGAAACCCUGAUGCAGCCAUGCCGCGUGUGUGAAGAAGGCCUUCGGGUUGUUAAAGCACUUUCAGCGGGGAGGAAGGCAAUAAACUUAAUAAGUUUGUUGAUUGACGUUACCCGCAGAAGAAGCACCGGCUAACUCCGUGCCAGCAGCCGCGGUAAUACGGAGGGUGCAAGCGUUAAUCGGAAUGACUGGGCGUAAAGCGCACGCAGGCGGUCUGUUAAGUUGGAUGUGAAAUCCCCGGGCUCAACCCGGGAACAGCAUUCAAAACUGACAGGCUAGAGUCUCGUAGAGGGGGGUAGAAUUCCAGGUGUAGCGGUGAAAUGCGUAGAGAUCUGGAGGAAUACCGGUGGCGAAGGCGGCCCCCUGGACGAAGACUGACGCUCAGGUGCGAAAGCGUGGGGAGCAAACAGGAUUAGAUACCCUGGUAGUCCACGCCGUAAACGAUGUCGACUUGGAGGCUGUGGUCUUGAACCGUGGCUUCCGGAGCUAACGCGUUAAGUCGACCGCCUGGGGAGUACGGCCGCAAGGUUAAAACUCAAAUGAAUUGACGGGGGCCCGCACAAGCGGUGGAGCAUGUGGUUUAAUUCGAUGCAACGCGAAGAACCUUACCUACUCUUGACAUCCAGAGAAGACUGUAGAGAUACGGGUUGUGCCUUCGGGAGCUCUGAGACAGGUGCUGCAUGGCUGUCGUCAGCUCGUGUUGUGAAAUGUUGGGUUAAGUCCCGCAACGAGCGCAACCCUUAUCCUUUGUUGCCAGCGAUACGGUCGGGAACUCAAAGGAGACUGCCGGUGAUAAACCGGAGGAAGGUGGGGAUGACGUCAAGUCAUCAUGGCCCUUACGAGUAGGGCUACACACGUGCUACAAUGGCGCAUACAAAGAGAAGCGAGCCUGCGAGGGUGAGCGGACCUCAUAAAGUGCGUCGUAGUCCGGAUUGGAGUCUGCAACUCGACUCCAUGAAGUCGGAAUCGCUAGUAAUCGUAGAUCAGAAUGCUACGGUGAAUACGUUCCCGGGCCUUGUACACACCGCCCGUCACACCAUGGGAGUGGGUUGCAAAAGAAGUAGGUAGC
RNAcentral lists this ribosomal RNA (1389 nucleotides) under Brenneria salicis. RNAcentral describes it as "bacterial SSU rRNA". It matches the Rfam family "Bacterial small subunit ribosomal RNA", at positions 56 to 1434 of the family's 1533-position model. Lineage: Bacteria; Pseudomonadati; Pseudomonadota; Gammaproteobacteria; Enterobacterales; Pectobacteriaceae. The record is from RNAcentral.